UUUUAUGGGAAACAGGGGGCGGGGAGCCUUAUGGCUCGCUGGUACACGUUUCCAGUCUGCUAACCCGCCCUUUUGUUUCCCGCCUUG
This 87-nucleotide non-coding RNA is filed under the name Alysiella filiformis DSM 16848. The record is from RNAcentral. Lineage: Bacteria; Pseudomonadati; Pseudomonadota; Betaproteobacteria; Neisseriales; Neisseriaceae.